CCGAGCGAGGGCUCCGGCCCGACCUCCAACCCAUUGAAGUUACCAACUCUGUUGCCUCGGGGGUGACCCGGCCGCCGCGGCGUCGGGGCCCCCGAAGGACCACACCACUCUGCGUCUCUGCGUCGGAGUUUGAGGGAAAUGUCAAUUA
This 148-nucleotide unclassified non-coding RNA is filed under the name uncultured fungus. Its description in RNAcentral is "sequence contains ITS1, 5.8S rRNA gene". The record is from RNAcentral. Lineage: Eukaryota; Fungi.